UUUACCCUGCAGAGAUCUGAGGAGCAGUUAACCAUAGUCCUCAUAAAUCCACCGCAGUUUAAAAUUCAACACAAAGAAAGCGGAAGUUAGCGGACAUCCGGGCGAAAAGAGCGUGAUCCAGGGGAAUUUCCGGCAGCACCGGAGCAAUCCCGAAAGUGGAACGUUGUGGAUAUAGACUAGGUGUUUGCUUCCCGG
Long non-coding RNA from Sander lucioperca (pikeperch), 195 nucleotides. RefSeq lists it as uncharacterized. Lineage: Eukaryota; Metazoa; Chordata; Actinopteri; Perciformes; Percidae. The record is from RefSeq and is a predicted model, not a curated record. The transcript is spliced from 3 exons.